UACGUAGGGUGCAAGCGUUAAUCGGAAUUACUGGGCGUAAAGCGUGCGCAGGCGGUUCGGAAAGAAAGGUGUGAAAUCCCAGGGCUUAACCUUGGAACUGCACUUUUAACUACCGGGCUAGAGUACGUCAGAGGGGGGUAGAAUUCCACGUGUAGCAGUGAAAUGCGUAGAGAUGUGGAGGAAUACCGAUGGCGAAGGCAGCCCCCUGGGAUGAUACUGACGCUCAUGCACGAAAGCGUGGGGAGCAAACAGGAUUAGAUACCCUGGUAGUCCACGCCCUAAACGAUGUCAACUAGCUGUUGGGGUUUAUUAACCUUAGUAGCGCAGCUAACGCGUGAAGUUGACCGCCUGGGGAGUACGGUCGCAAGAUUAAA
Molecule: ribosomal RNA, 374 nt
Filed under: uncultured bacterium
Lineage: Bacteria
Description: bacterial SSU rRNA
Rfam family: Bacterial small subunit ribosomal RNA
Source: RNAcentral